AACAUCGCGCACCUGCGGGAACCUGCGGAAGGAUCAUUAGCUUAGGAAGGGGGAGGAUGGAUGGGGGUAGAGAGGAGCCAAGGGGGUAACUCCAAGACUCUUCGAUACUCAAUCCAACCCAACCCAACCCAACCCAACCCCAACCCACGUGAACAUGGAUAAUGUCUGUGAUGAUGGCGGCAGUGCUAGUGUGUGUGAGCUGCUACGCUUGCAUGGAUGAACAUUGCCGACAUUGUCAAU
RNAcentral lists this unclassified non-coding RNA (240 nucleotides) under soil metagenome. RNAcentral's name for it is "partial contains 5.8S ribosomal RNA, internal transcribed spacer 2, and large subunit ribosomal RNA". The record is from RNAcentral.